Non-coding RNA from Podarcis lilfordi (Lilford's wall lizard), 108 nucleotides. NCBI's taxonomy places the organism in Eukaryota, Metazoa, Chordata, Lepidosauria, Squamata, Lacertidae. The record is from the annotation of a GenBank genome assembly.
AACUACGUUUGUUAUUGGUAUGAGCUUUCAUGUGCAUGCACACUUCUUCAGACACACUUCUUCGUGUGCAUGCACACGAAAGCUCAUACCAAUAACAAACUUAGUUGG